This 491-nucleotide ribosomal RNA is filed under the name uncultured bacterium. RNAcentral describes it as "partial 16S ribosomal RNA". It matches the Rfam family "Bacterial small subunit ribosomal RNA", at positions 29 to 506 of the family's 1533-position model. The record is from RNAcentral.
AGUGAACGCUGGCGGUAGGCCUAACACAUGCAAGUCGAACGGCAGCACAGUAAGAGCUUGCUCUUACGGGUGGCGAGUGGCGGACGGGUGAGGAAUACAUCGUAAUCUACUUUUUCGUGGGGGAUAACGUAGGGAAACUUACGCUAAUACCGCAUACGACCUACGGGUGAAAGCAGGGGAUCUUCGGACCUUGCGCGAUUGAAUGAGCCGAUGUCGGAUUAGCUAGUUGGCGGGGUAAAGGCCCACCAAGGCGACGAUCCGUAGCUGGUCUGAGAGGAUGAUCAGCCACACUGGAACUGAGACACGGUCCAGACACCUACGGGAGGCAGGAGUGGGGAAUAUUGGACAAUGGGCGCAAGACUGAUCCAGCUAUACCGCGUGGGUGAAGAAGGCCUUCGGGUUGUAAAGCCCUUUUGUUGGGAAAGAAAAGCAGCAGGUUAAUACCCCGCUGUUCUGACGGUACACAAAGAAUAAGCACCGGCUAACUUCGU